UAUGUGAUCGUCUCUCGCAUAUCAAUAAGCGGAGGAAAAGAAACUAACAAGGAUUCCCCUAGUAACCGGGCGAGUGAAGCGGGAAGAGCUCAAAUUUGAAAUCUUAAAGGGUUUCCCUUUACGAAUUGUAGUUUAAAGAAGUGUUUUCUGUUGAGGUUUUGGUAAAAGUUCUUUGGAAUAGGAUAUCAUAGAGGGUGAGAAUCCCGUAUUUGACCUUUACUUUCAACUUUGUGAUACACUUUCAAAGAGUCGGAUUGUUUGGGAAUGCAGUCCAAAAUGGGUGGUAAAUUUCAUCUAAAGCUAAAUAUUGGCGAGAGACCGAUAGCGAACAAGUACCGUGAGGGAAAGAUGAAAAGAACUUUGAAAAGAGAGUUAAACAGUACGUGAAAUUGUCAAAAGGGAAGCGUUUGACACCAGUGCUGUCUUUCUGAAAAUCAAUUAAAGAACUGUUUAUGCUAAGUUGUUUAGACUUUAUCAGCUAUCUGCUUAGUUUUGAGCUUUUCUUUAAUGCACUUUUCAGUUAGCAAGUCAACAUCAAUUUCUUUUGCUGUAAAAAAGCUUGAGGAAGGUGGCUUGAAAUUCGUCUUAAGUGUUUAUAGCCUCUUGCCUAUGCAGUCGGAGAGAUUGAGGUCUGCAGCGUAGAUCCUUCGGGGCUAAAUGCAUUUGUGCUAAGUUAUAGCAUUUUAUAGACAACUUGUUGACUAUGAUUUGUCUUGUAGCUUACUCGCUUAUGUUAUUUUACCUACGCUUAGGAUGUUGAGUAGCGACAUACGCAC
This 776-nucleotide ribosomal RNA is filed under the name uncultured Neocallimastigales. Its description in RNAcentral is "partial large subunit ribosomal RNA". It matches the Rfam family "Eukaryotic large subunit ribosomal RNA", at positions 24 to 649 of the family's 3401-position model. Lineage: Eukaryota; Fungi; Neocallimastigomycota; Neocallimastigomycetes; Neocallimastigales. The record is from RNAcentral.